Molecule: long non-coding RNA, 216 nt
Filed under: Elaeis guineensis (African oil palm)
Lineage: Eukaryota; Viridiplantae; Streptophyta; Magnoliopsida; Arecales; Arecaceae
Description: long non-coding RNA (EGUI_LNC067703)
Source: RNAcentral
GUCGCGGAGGUCGUGGAUCACCUGGUGGAUGCCUUUCGGGGAGGCAUCAGGUGGAGAUCUGGCAGGAGAAAGAGAAGAAGAUGUUAGAGAAGAUGACUGGAGACAGUCCUGUUGAGCACUCCUUUAAGAGCAAGGGUACUGCGAAGACACAGAUCGUUCCUCUAGCGCCAAUGCUAUUUGUGCAGAAUUCCACCGACGUCGGAGAAGCUGGAGUCG